CAGUAGCCGCGGGAAUACGAAGGGGGCGAGCGUUGCUCGGAAUGACUGGGCGUAAAGGGCGCGUAGGUGGUACGGACAGUCAGAUGUGAAAUUCCCGGGCUCAACCUGGGGGCUGCAUUUGAUACGUCCGAACUAGAGUGUGGAAGAGGGUCGUGGAAUUCCCAGUGUAGAGGUGAAAUUCGUAGAUAUUGGGAAGAACACCGGUGGCGAAGGCGGCGACCUGGUCCAUUACUGACGCUGAGGCGCGAAAGCGUGGGGAGCAAACAGGAUUAGAUACCCCGGUAGUCCCUGUCUCUUAUAC
RNAcentral lists this ribosomal RNA (301 nucleotides) under uncultured bacterium. RNAcentral describes it as "partial 16S ribosomal RNA". It matches the Rfam family "Bacterial small subunit ribosomal RNA", at positions 509 to 807 of the family's 1533-position model. The record is from RNAcentral.